RNA transcript from Heterocephalus glaber (naked mole-rat), 904 nucleotides. RefSeq lists it as uncharacterized. NCBI's taxonomy places the organism in Eukaryota, Metazoa, Chordata, Mammalia, Rodentia, Bathyergidae. The record is from RefSeq and is a predicted model, not a curated record.
UCGGCAGCCCGGCCCGAGCGAGCUCCGCGCGUCCGGGAGGGAGCUGAGGGCUCCCCGGGUUCAAAGGGCCGCAGCCCCGAGGGAAUGCCCUGCUCGCGGUGCCCUUGGGUGCAGAAGCGGACUGCAGGGCGGUGGGACCGGCCUGGGCACGUCUCUCUUUCAGAAGCCCAUACAUUAGAAUGCCAAGGGUGCAGUAUGGCUUUUGAUGCAUCUGCUGAAGCACAAAGUGAAGUCUUGGAAACUACAUCACAAUUUCAAAGAAGAAAACAAAAAUGUAAGAUGGGGGAAGAGACCCGAGCGUGUGAUGUGGGCCGUUAGGAGGUUGGCUGGCUGGACUGGAGGCCACCGUGUUGGAGAACUGGCAGUGCGACUCAGUCCACAGGUGUGGAGGGAUUUUUCUUUAAGGGUCCUCUUCUCAGCACCAAGCACCUGCAACUUAGAGAUAUCAUGACAAACAUCUUUUCCAGGUUAUGACAAGCUGCAGAGAGACUCGCAGAACUCCGAAGGAGGAGCGGCGCGUGGAAUCAGAAAGGCUGGGGACGUGGGGAAGACAGAGCGAAGAUGGCUUCAGAGGAGAGGAACUCUCAGAUCUACCCACAACAACUUAUAUCAGACAUAUCAACAGAUCCCCAUCUGAAAUUUGUGAUAGAAACUGAAGGACGUGCUUACUACCUGAAAAAUGUACUCGGAGUACCUGGGUACAAGGGAACUUCUGCAAAAAACUUAAAAGUCAAAAUCAAACAUCAUGGGGAGAAAUGAGUGGAAAAGACACCCAGAAUACAGGGGAACUUUGCAGAACACUGAAGUCCCAAAAUGAGUGGAAUGGGAGAUAUCAUUUAUUGUUCUAUAAUGAUGCAGCUCUAGUGAUUAUGGCACCUUGAAAAUAAAGCUAUGUCUCCUGAAA